UUUGAUGGCGACCGGCGCACGGGUGAGUAACACGUAUCCAACCUGCCGAUGACUCGGGGAUAGCCUUUCGAAAGAAAGAUUAAUACCCGAUGGCAUAGUUCUUCCGCAUGGUAGAACUAUUAAAGAAUUUCGGUCAUCGAUGGGGAUGCGUUCCAUUAGGUUGUUGGUGAGGUAACGGCCCACCAAGCCUUCGAUGGAUAGGGGUUCUGAGAGGAAGGUCCCCCACAUUGGAACUGAGACACGGUCCAAACUCCUACGGGAGGCAGCAUG
This 270-nucleotide ribosomal RNA is filed under the name uncultured bacterium. RNAcentral describes it as "partial 16S ribosomal RNA". It matches the Rfam family "Bacterial small subunit ribosomal RNA", at positions 84 to 353 of the family's 1533-position model. The record is from RNAcentral.